RNAcentral lists this long non-coding RNA (280 nucleotides) under Bos taurus (domestic cattle). RNAcentral's name for it is "long non-coding RNA NONBTAT017132". The record is from RNAcentral. Lineage: Eukaryota; Metazoa; Chordata; Mammalia; Artiodactyla; Bovidae.
UGAGGGGAGGACAGGUAGGGUAUCAUUUAUUGUGGAGACAUGGAGGGACUCAGUUUUUUUAUGUGGCAACCCCUCUGUACCUGCACCUAGCUUCAGAGUGAAUCAUCAUCUUGGUCAUCUCUCCAAUAGCAUUUAAAGAUGUGUUGAUUACAAGUCACAGAAAUGCAAAUAGGGAUUCAUAAAUAAAUGAGAAUACAUUUUUAUCACAUAACAGCAAUUCCGCAGAGAAUUACAAACUUUGAUUUUGUGCUCACUGAUGUCAGAGCUGAUGUUUCUUGUC